This is a long non-coding RNA of Sapajus apella (tufted capuchin), 19923 nucleotides long. RefSeq lists it as uncharacterized. The record is from RefSeq and is a predicted model, not a curated record. NCBI's taxonomy places the organism in Eukaryota, Metazoa, Chordata, Mammalia, Primates, Cebidae. The transcript is spliced from 2 exons.
ACCCCGGUGAUACGGCAGAGGGCUAUAAAAGCAAAAGUUGUGGCCAGUCCAGCAGGAGUUAGUGACAGGGAGUGAUGCGCUCAUGGGUGUAGUUGUGGGGGAGGAAGUGGGCAGUUCAGGGCCUCAGGAGAGUUGGGGAGAGAUGACUGAGUUAGAUGAGACUCGGGGUUUGGGGGUGCAAGGAGAAGGAAAGUUGGCAAAGAGACGGAGACUAGGUCUGGGGGGACCACAGUGCGGCAGGCUGCGUUCAAAAUACGCGCAGGAGCCCACAGGGAGGGCCAGGCUCCAGGCCAGGCUGCCACUACUGCCUGCUGGAGGGGGAACUUGACGUCUGAGAAGGCGCCGCUCUUGCAUGGCUGAGCAAGCCUCAGUGCCCUCGUCUGUGGAGGGAGGAAGGCAGGGCGAGAGGCCAGGAGGAAUGGGCCGCUGCGGCCCUGGAGAUGAUCAGGAAGGCGGGCAGUGGUUGCAGGGCUGCAGGAGGGCCGGGAGGGCCGAGCUUCAACUUGUCCAUGCCAGCAGCCCUUUUUUUUUCAGACAAAGGGCUGUGAACCCGCCUGGGGAUGAGGCCUGGUCUUGUGGAACUGAACUUAGCUCGCCGGGGCUGACCACUCUGGCCCAGGGUGGUAUGUAAUUUUGGCUCAGCCUGGGACGGGUCCAGGCUGGGCCCAGACUAGUGGAGCGUCCAGGUCUGGAUGCGAAGCCAGGCCCCUGGGCGGAGGUGAGGGGUGGUCUGAGGAGUGAUGCGGGGCCAAGGCGCCAUCCUCACCGGCACCUGGCAUGUUUGACAGGCGGGGACUGCGAGGCACGCUGCUCGGGUGUUGGGGGCAACAUUGACCAACGCUUUAUUUUCCAGGUGGCAGUGCUCCUUUUGGACUUCUCUGUAGGUUUGGCGCUAAACUCUUCUGUGAGCUCACUCCACCCCUCCUCCUCCUCCCUUUAACUUAUCCAUUCACUUAAAACAUUGCCUGGUCGUCUGGUAAGCCUGGUAUAGUAGCCGAGUGGCUGUUGGAGUCGGUAUUGUUGGUGGAGAAAGAAAGGCCUUCCCGCUGAGGUGGGGUGGGGCGGAUCGAUGUUGCUUGCCUGCAGAGAGGGUGGGGAGUGAAUGUGCCCCUUUGGGUGGGCCCGCAGCGAUCCAGCUGAAAGUUACAAAAAUGCCUCAUGGACCGCGGUUUGUUACUGUAGUGUUCCUCAUGGCGAGCAGAUGGAACCGGGAGACAUGGAGCCCCUGGCCAUUAUGAGUCCUAGCAGUGCAGGAGGGGAGACCCUGGAGGAAAGAGCCCGCCUCAAUUGAUGCCUGCAGAUUGAAUUUCCAGAGGCUUAGGAGGAGGAAGUUCUCCAAUGUCAUGUUUCCAGGCCUUUCUCAGGAAGCCCUGUAUUCAGGAGGCUACCAUUUAAGGUUUUCAGAUAAGCUUGUGGGGGGCAAUCUUAAAAGUCCACAGCAGAUGCAUCCGGCUUGAGGUGCCAUCAGCUUUGAAUAAAUGCUUGUUCCGGAGCCAUGAAUGCCAGCAGGCACCCCUCCUUCCCUGGGGUAAAGGUUUUCAGAUGCUGCAUCUUCUAAAUUGAGCCUCCAGUCAUACUCGUUCUGUGCUUGGAACCUUGCUUCAAGAAGAUUCCUAAGCUGUAGAACAUUUUAACGUUGAUGCCACAACGCAGAUUGAUGCCUUAUAGAAGGAGUUUGCAGAAGGAGCCCCAUGACCUCUCGCCUACCCACCUGUUUGCCUGCCUGCCUGUGCAUUGCUCGGAGAAGUUCUGAGCCUGAUGAAAUAACUUGGGGUGUUGGAAAGCUGUUUAAUUUUAAAUGCCUUAGACGGGGGAUAUAUUAGAGGAAGCAGAUUGUCAAAUGAAGGGUGUCAUUGUGUGGUGCUAAACUCUGGGAGGGUACACGUUGGUCAUUCUGAAAUCUGUGUGUGGGAAAUGGCAGGUCUAGUUUGGGCAUUGUGAUUUCAUUGCAGGUUACUAAGAGAAGGGAAUGGUGGGUAUGCCGGUAGUGCCCUUUCGAUCUUGUUUCGUUUUUUUUAAACUUGAAUUUUGUUAGAUUUCAUAAUACUUUUUUGGCAUUCUAAUAAGAGGACCCUGAGGUGGGAGUUGUGGGGGAUGGGCGGAGGAAAACAGCUUGGCACUGGUCACGUGGGAGUUGCAGUUUGGGGGAAUGCAGCUUGGCGUUGGUACUGGGAGGGAUGGGGUGAAGAAGGGGAGAGGGUUGGUUAGGUAUCUAGUGUGGGUGUUGGGAGUGGUAGGAAAUGCAGGUUUAAGGGAACUCUGGGGCUCUGGUGAAUUUAGUGCAAUGGGUGAGCCAAGAAAACACUAAUUAAUAAUAGUAAGUUGUUAAUGUUGGUUAAAUUGUUGCUUGGAAAUGAAAAGUUGCUUAGAAACUUUCCAAAGUGCUUAGAACUUUAAGUACAAAAAAACCAAAACAAAAUUGUUUUGCUUUGCUGCAAGGUGGGGAAGACUGAAAAAGUGUAACUGAAAAUAGAUGAUGACACAGAGUCACCAGUUUUCCGAGAACCACAGGGAGGGGUGUGUGAUGCCAUCUCACAGGCAGGGUAAACGUCUUUACCAACUUCUUCCUGGUGGCCAAGGCAGCCUGUUUUAGAGGGUGGUUUUGUUUAGGGUGUGGGUAUUUUCAAGUGAAUCAGUCACUUGUCAGACUUGCAUACGCAGCAUCCCUCGCUGCCUCUUGCCAGCUUCAUAGGUGAUCUAUCUGAAGCUGUGAAGAUGGGAUUUUUCACAGGAGCUGGAAGUCUUAGAAAUUGUAAAUGCCUACAUUGUGGGCUUUUAACGUAUUUAAGGGACGACUUAAGACGAGUUGAGAUAGGCUCCUCUGAAUUUGUAACUCAUUUGUCACAGAUAGCUUGUGAUUGAAAAUUAUGAGCACAGUGAAAGUGCAGUGAAUUUCAAGGGAUUUCUUAUGUAAAUCCUGCCGUAGAAACACAUAAUUGUCUUUUCUGUGUUUGGUAAAUAUUAAUCAUGGCAAAAUUUUUGCUUACCUAGUAUCUUCGAAUCUAGUCUUUGUAACGAACCAAAUACCCUUUUGUCAUCACUGUAAAAUUACUAUAAUAUUUGGUAGCAGAUAGAAUCCAUGUACCUUUGCUAAGGUUAAAAUGAAUAUUGUAUUUUUAGUUUGAAUGUUUGUGCUUUUCCGUGAUCCGUGAUCCAAGACUAGAGGGGAAACUAAACUGUCAUCACCUAACGGUUUGGAAAACGAGCUAAAAGGGGAAGGGGAUGAGGAUUGUGGGGAGGGCGUGGGUGAAGUGCCUCUACUACAUGUGUGAUCUGAAAACUCUACUUGUUUCUGAGCUGCAUCCAAACUGAUAAAGUAAUACCAAUGGCUUGUUACCAUGUCCCUCUUCCCUUUAAAUUUCACUUAAAUUUUUUUAAAUCAUGGAUAUUUUUAUCCUUGGGAUCUGUCUUCUGGGUUCCAUUUUUUCAGUGUUUAAAAAUAUGUUGACACGGUAGUUCAGUUCUUAACCAGUGGCUUGGACAUGAUACAAUUACUGUCGUUGGAAUUUAGAGUGUUAUUAGUCAUGCAUGUAUGGGGAAAUAUUUUCGGGCAUGCUGUUGCGAAAUUAAAACUGUAGAAGUGGGUGGUUAAAAGUACGGGUUUGUUGCUCUGUAUGGUAAGAACUAAUCCUGUUGCAUCAUGUACGUAAUUCCUAAUCACUUUCCUUCCCCUUUACAGCACAAAUAAAGGUUCAAGUUCUAAACUCAUUAGAAUUGUUGUAUUGCUAUGUUAUAUUUCUCGACCCCUAUCACAUUGCCUUCAUAAUGAAGUUGGAUUUAUUUUCAUGUUGUAGAUUUAGGUCUAGAUUUGCCAGCUUCAAGUAAGUAAGGCCGUAUAGGAGAGCAUGAUAACCAAAAUAGAACUGGUAUUAUCCCAAGUGGUCUGCAGACUGCUGGGUGGGUGGGGAGGGAUCUGCUCUAUGUUGGGACUUGGUAAUCAUUUGUUUGAAAUGUGAUGAACCAUUCGAGCCAAUGAAGGUGAGUGUGUAGGUGGGGAGUGCUUUGCCAUAAUAUUUUAAAACAUUACUUGCUUAGAGUUCUAAGUGGUACUUAUUUUUAUUUGGUUAGGGAAAAGUCUGAAUAAAAUAGAAUGGCUAUAUAAUAUGUGUAUUACAUAGUAUGAGUCUUUGGAAGGCUGGAAUGUAUCUGGGAUUUGGGUCUAAGUAUAUGCGUAAUUCUUAUCUCACUAAAGAAUGCGACUUGUUUUUUCCUUUUGGUGAGUGACUGAGAGGAAUCUGCUCUCUGUUGGGACUUGGUAAUCGUUUGUUUGAAAUGUGCUGAGGAGGAAGGUGCUUGAUUCAAAGGGAGCCUCAAGGGAGGCUUGUCCUACUCAACCUGGACCUGUUGGCCUAAGAAGGGGAGAUAAGGGCUCAACUGGGACUAGCCAGGGGACCAGCACAAAUGGUGGGAGAUCAUGACCGGAAGGAUUCUUUUCUUACCAUGAGCUGCGGGACUGGUUGCCGUCUUUACAGCUGUGUCUUAUUUGCCUGUGCUGUUGUAUCUUGGUGACCCCUCCACAUGUACACUACUGACAAACGGGCUGGGUAGUGGGAAGAGGAAGUCACUGAGCUGCCCACCCAGCAAACCUAUCUGUGCUCAUGGCACCGCCAAGAUAGGGCUCUGCUGUGUACAGGCUCCAGGGCCCUCUUCCUGCUUGCCCUCUUCCUGGAUGCUCCAGAAAUAAUCCAGGCCCCCUUUCCUGUCUUACCCCUUUGCUUUGCUUUUUACCCCAGCACCUCUAUAACCACCUUUUCUUCUUUUCAGAGCCCUUGUUUCUUCUCUUGUUUUUUAUGAUUAUUACAAAACUCUUGCUUCCACCCUGGAAAGUAACUGCUAUGGAUGCCUCUGUGUAAAUGGUGCUAUCUCCAGCAACUGUGGCAUGCUGAAGAAGAAUUGACUCAUGGGGUAUAAAUGUUGGGGAUUGGAAGUGGGUAUGAAGUGGCACUUGAUCAGGAGCAGAGAGGUGAGGCCAACUGCUGAAGGCUCAGCUCGCCACCCUCCUUGCCUCCACCCCAAUCCAGGGGCUGGGCCACAGUCUUUGCCUUCAGUUAUCCUCAAAUCAGUUGAGAUGGACAGGAGGUGUUGAUGGCAGUGCCAGCAACUAUCACUCAUCAGUUUGCAUCCUUAUGCAUGGAUCUGAAUUCAGACUUUCUGUGAAUUUCCAGAGGUGUGGGUAAUAUCAUGGAACUCAGUGAGUGGGCAUGGCUGAGCUUUGCAAAAUAAAAGUUAUGGGGUAUAAGAAAAGCAAAAGUUGAACUUGAACUUCUUUUAAAAAGGAAAGUACCCUGAGAGCCAGUAUUGGUUUACGUUCCUCAGUAUGCCAGGGUUGGUGACACAGAACUGCAGGAACGGCCUGUGUUACAAAAAGGAGAUUGAUUCAGCUGCCCUUGGUGCAUCUUAUUGCCUGUGACUGUUAAGGGAUUCCAAGGACCCUUAAUGCCAGGCUAACCUCUCUGUGCAGUGAAGUCUCUGGAGGAAGUGUUAUCCUCUGGCGUUGUGUGCAAAGGUACUCAUGGUGCAGUGCUGGUAUGAAAUGAAGACAUGCCCAAAUAGGCUUACGGAUGUUUAUGAUACGUUUUCAAUAUUCCUAUCUAACAAACAAAGAUAUACUGAUACUAUCUGGAAAUCGUAACAGGAAGAUAGCAAAAGAAGAACUAAACUUACGAAAAGAUGAGCAGGUACGUGUUCCAAGGCAGGUGGCCGUGAUCUUCCUCUGAGUGAGGGCAUCCCCUCCACCCCCUGCCAGCCUGCUGGUUAGGACAGCCUGCCGCCACCCUCCUGGACCCACAGCCAUGCACUGCCUUUCCUCUCUUUUAAAUAAUUCUUCAUCGAGUUCUAAUAUGUAAAAGAAAAGUUUAAAGUUUACAAAUAAGGAAUUUUUUUUUCAAAAUCCUCAAUAAUCUUACCAUUAACAAUUGUUAUGGGCAUGUUUGCUUUUGGAGGAUUUCUUUUAUAUGCGUGGGAUAAGUGCUUUUUUAUACAAAAAUGAGAUGAUGCCAUAAAUUCUGUAUUGUGACUACUUAAUAUAUAGUGAACACCUUUUUAAAUGAUAACAGUGUUUCCUCGAUUGGCUAUAUCAGUGUAAACACUUAUUUCAAUGGACAUGUAGGGUAUUUCUAGGUUUUUUUUUCUCUUAGAAAAUAAUACUUGCAAUGACUUUCUUUGUAGCUCAGACUUUUGUCUCUUGUUUUCUCUUUGGGAAUGCAUGAAUACAUUUCGAGAAGGAAAUGACUCUGUGAAACUCGGGCUAAACUGCCCACCAGGGAGAAAUUGCUCAAUUAGUGUUCUGACUAGUGAGGCAAACCUGACGCCUUCCCCUCUUCCUCAGAACCUGUUUUGCCACAUUAAAAACCUUUGCUCCCCCAAUGGAUCCAGUCUGCUUCCCCUGUGGGUGUGAGCAUUGCUUUGUCUGCUGGGGAUUGAACAUCUCUACUGUAUGUUGAUUGGCCGUUUGUAGGGGGUGUGUGUGCAUGACUUUGUACUUCCUAAUUAGGCAUUUUUCUUUUUUUUUGUUUUUUGUUUUGUCUUGUUUUUUAAGAUGGGGUUUCACCAUGUUGAUAAGGCUGGUCUUGAACUCCCGACCUCAGGUGAUCCGCCCGCCUUGGCCUCCAAAGGGCUUGGAUUACAGGCGUGAGCCACCACGCCCGGCCGCGUAAUUAGGUAUUUUUCUAAUGGUUGUUGUGUAAAAACUAUUUACAUAUUAAGGAUAUUAAUAACCUUUUGUCAUAGUUGAUGCAAUAUUUCUUUUCCAGUUUAUAGAUUGCCUUUUAAUUUUGUUUCAGAUAGAUAGAAGUUACAUGAUUUUCCAAGGUUAGUUUAUUACUGUGGUUUCUGAACUUGUUAUAUGUAGAUCUUUUCUACCCCAAGAGUACAUAAAUAUUAAUCCAUACUUUCUUGUGAAACUUGCAUGGUAUCAUUUUUUUACAUUUAAACCUUAUUCCACCUGGAGUGUGUUGUGGAGUCUGUGUGUGUGUGUGUGUGUGUGUGUGAGGAGGGGCGUGGUGCUCUCAGAGCCCACCUCCUAAGGCCAAAGAACCCUGUCCUGGGAGGGUUGCUGUCACAGUGAGAGGGUUCACUGCAGAAGACCUUGGGGCCAGGCUGGUGUUUCCUGAAUGGGCCCCUGGUUGUUGCUGGUCCCUGACUCUCGGUUUCCCCAUCUGAGUAGGUUUGUACCUAAUAGGUCACUGGAGCUGGUUCUAAUCCUCUUGGCAACUUUAUGACUGGGAGCAAGUUACUUAACCUGCCGGAGACUGUCUGUGAAAUGUGGGUUAAUGAAUAUAGAUGUUUGGCAGCAGCUACUCCUUGUUGAGCUCUUAUAGUGAACUCUCCUGCCUCUGCCCUCCUUCUCCACCUCCUCUGGGGCCCAGGUCUAACCACUUUUUCCUGGGACCCUCUCCCUGUUCUGUGGCCGGCUGGCUGCCCGCCUGGCACUGGACGUUUCAUGCAAUGGGAAUCAGAGUGUAUAUCCUGGUCUGGUCUGUUUCUACACUUAAUUUUGUUUCCACUAAAUUUCCCUGUACCGGUAUAGUUCACAAACACAUUUGAAGAGGCUGUUUCUCAGGAUUCUUAACCUUCCCAAAGGAAUUCCCAUGGAUGGGUUCCUAGAAGUCUAUGAAUGCUCUGAAAUUGUGUGUAUUUUUCUGUGGAAAGCAUAACUUUCAUCUGCUUGUUCAUGACCUCAAAAAAGAUCAUGAAUGGAAUGAUUGCAUGAUUUUAUGCUAAUGUGCUUAUACUACAGGAUAUUUAUCCCAUCUCUUUAGUUGUUAAACUGUUUUGACUAUUUAAAUUGUGCAGCUGUGAGCAUCUCUGUAACUUUAGUGUACAUGUGUAUCUCCCGGAGUGGCACUGCCUGGGCAGUGAGGACUUACGGUUUUAUAACCGUCUUCACAGACUCGUGACUCCAGAAAGCUACACUUCCUGUUGUGAGUAUAUUACAUCCAUUUCCCUACAAAGCUACUAACAUCAGAUUUUUACAAUUUUAUUUAUUUGUUGCUACUUGUAAAAUUUUUUGUGGUGAAAUACAUAUAAUAGAAGUUUACUAUCUUAAUCAUUUUUAAGUAUGCAUUCAGUAGUGGUAAGUAUGUUUCCACUGUUGUACAGCCAAUCCAGAACAUUUUCAUCUUGCGAAAUUGAAACUCUGUACCCAUUAAAUAACCUUAAACACUGCAUUUCCUCCAACAAAACCAAAACUCUGUACCUAUUAAAUAAUAUUAAACAAUCCAUUCCCUCCAGCCCCGGCAACCACCAUUCUUUCUACUUUCUGUUUCUGUGAGUUUGACUACUCUAUGCACUUCAUAUCAGAGAAAUCAUGAAGUAUUUGUCUGUUUGUGACUGGCUUAUUACAUUUAGCACAGUGUCCUCCAGAUGCGUCUAUGUUGUAGCACGUGUCAGAACCUCCUUCCUUUUUAAAAGAGCUGAAUAAUCUAUUUUAUAUCUUAUUUUGUUGAUCCAUUCACCCAUUAGUGGACGGGUUGCUUUCAGCUUUUGUGAACAAUAGUGUUACGUACAAAUAUCUUUAUUGUUGUAUUUACAAGUAUGAUGCUGUAAUGUACACACAUCUUUUUGAGAUCCUAUCUUCAGUUCUUUUGGGUAUGUAGCCAGAAGUGGUAUUUCUAUUUUAAUUUUUUUGAGGAACCACUCUAUGUUUUCCAUAGCAACUGCCCUAUUUUACACUCUCACCAGUAGUGCACAGGGGUUCCAAGUUUCCCACAUCCUCUGCAGUGGUUGUUAUUUUCAGCUUUUUUAUAUCGAAGCCACCCUGUGGGUGUGAGGUGAUAUUUCAUUGUCAUUUUGAUUUGCAUUUUCCUAAUGAUUAGUGAUACUAAUGAUUAGUGAUACUAAGCGUCUUUUCAUAUACUUAUUGCUCAUUUGUAUGUCUUCUUUAGAAAAAUGUCUAUUCAAGUCCUUUGACUAUUUUAAAAAUUGGGUUAUUAAGGUUAUUGUUGUUGACUUGUAGGAGUUUCUAUAUUCCGGAUAUUAACCCCCUAUCAGAUAUAUGAUUUGCAAAUAUGUUCUCUUAUUCCAUAAGGUUGCUUUUUCACUUUGUUGAUUGUGUUCUUUGAUGUACAGAAGUUUUAAAAUUUGAAAUAGUCUAAUUUCUGUCUUUUUAAUUCUGUUUGUACUUUUGGUGUCAUAUCCAAGAAAUCCUUGCCAAAUCCAACGUUAUAAGGUAUUUUAGUUGUUUUAGUCUGUAUAUUUCUGUGCUCAUCUCUUUAUCCACUCAUCCGUUAAUGGGCACAUAGGUUGGUUCCAUAUCUUUGCAAUUCUGAAUUAUCCGUGAUCAGGUGUCUUUUUGGUAUGACUUAUUCUCCUUUGAGUAGAUACCCAGUAGUGGCAUUGCUGGAUUGAAUGGUUUUCAUACUUUUCUGUUUUACCACAGUUUUCAUCUGCAUUUUUCCUCUUUGACCACUGAGCAUGUGAAAUUCUCAUACUGACCUUUAUAUGAUCAUGAACUCUUAGUAUCAUUGGGAAAGCCACAUUCGCUGCUUAUGAUUGUCAACCCUAUCCUCCAUUUUUCCUGUUAUUAUUGAUGCAAAAAGCAUCUAUUUUACCAGGACUUCAAAAAUCAGUCUGAUAAGCCUUUGAUAAGCCUAAUAAUAAUAACUGAUAAGUCCGUUGAAUUUGCUGCGUAUUACUUUUUCUUUAGUAGCUAAACAUGUAUGUACUCCUCUGGUGACAAUGAACACUCCUCUACAUUUAAAUUAAUGAUUUACACUGAUGAAGUUGAAAUAGCAAAGUUUUAAUUACUAAAUACUGUCUUUGUUUUUUUGCUCCAGGUCUGUCAUUAUUAACUUCUUAUAAUUUUCUUUUUUUCUGCGUGUGUGUGUGUGUGUGUGUGUGUGUGUGUGUGUGUGUGUAUUAAUUUCAAUAGCUUUUGAGGUACAAGUGGCUUUUGGUCAUAUAGAUGAAUUCUAUAGUAGUGAAGUCUGAGAUUUUACUGCACCGGUCACCUGAGUAGUGUACAUUGUACCCAAUAUGUGGGUGUUUAUCCCUCGCCCCCCUUAUCUGCCUUACUUUGAGUCUCUAGUGUCCAUUAUGUCACUCUGUAUACCUUUUUGUACCCAUAAGUUAGCUCUCAUUUAUAAGAGAGAACAUGCAGUAUUUGGUUUUCCAUUCCUGAGUUACUUCACUUACAAUAAUAGCUCCCAGCUCCAUCCAAACUAUUGCAAAAAAAAAAAAAAAACCCAUUAUUUUGUUCUUUUUUAUAGCUAAGUCAUAUUCCAUGGUGUAGAUAUACCACAUUUUAUUUAUCUACUCACUGGUUGAUGGGUUGGUUCCUUAUCUUUGCAGUUGUGAAUUGUGCUGCCAUCAAGUGUCUUUUUGGUAUAAUGACUUCUUUUCCGUUGGGUUGAUACUCAGAAAUGAGGUUGCUAGAUCAAAUGGUUCUUAUAAUUUUCUGUCUGGAUCUAUUUCUGGAAAUUGUAGGCUCUAGUUUUCAUUGUUAUUGUUAAUAAAAUGCAGUGGAAUUUAAUGAUCGUCACUUUUCAUUAUGUUUUAAAAUCUAGUAAAUGAAAGCUAAAAUACUCCUCUAAGGGAAGAAUAUUCUCUCUCUUUAUUAGAACUCAAAUACACAGAACUGGGUAAAUCUUUUGGUUCAGAAUAUAACAUGGCUCUCUUUAAUUUUCUUUCCUUGAUUGUUUUUUAAUAAUGUGGUAAGCAUUUCCAAAUCUCCUAUCUAAUAUAAAAACUAGGACAAUACAGACAGUAACCCCUUCCGCUUAUGUGGUCCCACCCCACCCGACUUCCCCUGCCAUCCCUGCCACCCCCCAGGCCAUGGUAAUAAUCAUCCUGAAUCCUGGGUUUAUCUCCCACUUACUUUCUUUUCCCAUAACUUUGUAAAAGAAUCUGAUCUAAAUAUGUUUUUCAAAUUAUAUAUUUAUAUUUUAGUUGUUCUUAGCUUAUAGAAAAGUUAUUUUGGAUGUAAUCUUAUGUUAUUUAAGAUUAUGUUAAUCUUAUUAAAUGAGAUAUAAACAUUCUCAUUUAAUAUGGUAAGAUUUAUCCCUUGCCCAUGGGGUAUUUCAUUUGGUUUAUUUACUGGAUAGAGCCCAUCAUGUAACUGUACCUCAGUUAGUUCAUCAAUUUUCCCAUCCAUCGUGACAGGGUUGCUUCUCUUACUUCUGUCAGUGUCGUUGAAGAAGUGAUAUGUGGGUGUUUUCUCAUUACACAGAGUUGAAAGGUGACUGACAAGGUUGGCACUACCAAUCCCCCAUACUCCAGAGGUAACCAGUGUUACCAGUUUGCUGGGUUUCCUGCUAGACUUACAUUUGUAUCUUAAAAAGUGUUGCAUUGUGUUUCUUUUCCAUAGAAGUGGGAAAAUACUAUUGUAUACUGUACAUUAUUGAUUACUUUUUUCAUUUAACAGUAAGGAGAUGCCUGGGAGUGCACACAGAACUUUCCUCACUGUUUUCAACUGCUGUGCAGUAUCUCUGUGAGUUAUUUAGCCAUUCUGCCAUUAAUGGAAAUUUACAAUAUUUCUCAUCUUUUGAUAUUACAAACAAUACUGUGUGAUCAUCGUCAUACACAGCCCCUUGUGCACAAUGCAUGAGUGUUUCUCAGGGUAGGUACCAAGAAGCGAAAUUGCUGGGUCAUAGGAUGUGGGUCUGACGUUUUCCUCUGUUCUGCCCUGUUGCCCUCCAGAGUAGUUGUCCAGCUUUGCACAGCUGAGUAUGAGAGUAUCUGUUGUUCAUAUCCUCUACGACGCUCUAUAUGACACUAAAAUUUCUGCUAGUUGCUUUCUUUGAUCUGUCAUGUAUGCAGUGACCCACUAAAACUUCAGAUGGUAUGAUAGAUUCUAGUCAUCUCUGUGUGAAUUUAGCAUUCAUGGGAUUAAUGCUAAUAAGGCCCCCAGGGUCCAAGACAUGUAAUCAAGUAUAAUUUUGUCAAGGUAUAAUUUUUUAAAUUGCUCUUGUCACGUGACUGCUGGGGACGCCCAACCCAGUGCUCUGCACCGGGUCACACUGCGGCUUUGUCGUCUGCUUAUCCCUGCAUUCAAGCACUGUCCUGAGGGGACCAAAAUCAUGCGGAUUUAGGUAAGUCCAUGGCUAGUGUUCCUAUAUUAUGUGUUCUUAUAAUGACUGGGGCUGUGGAGUGUAUGAAUUUAUAAAUCACUAGUCUUGUAAUUAAAACUCAAACACUAUAGAAAAAGGCCAUAUAGAAGAUAAAAGCUCCUCUAUAAUUCCCAAUCCCUAAGACAACUACUGAUGACAACUUCCUUUAUAUUCCUUCAGACAUUUUCUGGCUGUGGAUAUCCUAAAAUUUAUCCUAUUAUGCUCUGCCCUAAAAUGGAAUCAUAUAAUAUGUACUAUUGUUUUUAUGGCUUUAUAACAUGUAAUAUUGUGCAUGUUGGUGUGGUCGUUUUAACCAUUUUUCUAGUGAUGGGUUUGAGGUUACUUGCAGAGUUUUCUAGCCAUCACAGAGUGCUGCAGGGAUCUCUUUUGCAUUCCUCUGGGUGCAGAGCUGAGGCACCCAGAGGCAGUGCCCAGAGGAGGCAGCAUCUGUAGGUGUCUUCACCUGCUGUGGCUCUUGGCACACCUGGUCAGUGACACUGUUUUGUGAGAUGGAUUGAAAGCAUCUGCUGCUAAAAUCGGUAAUGCUGGUGCUCUCCUCAGGUGCCGUGGAAUUCACAUAAAACUGCUUAGUGUCCAUGCCAGAAUCAAGUAUAAUAUGGUGCCCGGCUAAGCACAAAACAGUAAUGGAUCCUGCAGAUCCCAGAGUCUAAUUCCUGGUAUUCUUUCCCCUAAGCAGGUUCAAUAAACAACAACAACAACAAAAAAAAAAAACAACCAAACUAUUCUAGGAACACAGCUGUGACAUUUGUAAAAAAGCAGUGUUUAAUGAUCUCUUAUUCACUUGUCUGUUUAGUUUGUUGAAAUGUUACCUGGUCUAGGAAGGAAUGCUGUCUGUACCUGCCCUCUGCUGGGCACAGCGUGGCUGCUUCAGGGGCUAAGUUCAUGCUCUCUGUCCUCUAAGGGGCUGUCACAUGCCAGGAGCUCAGAUGUGAGCCCAGCCCUGGCUCUUACUCACCUCAUAGGGUCACUGGUAGGGGCACAGGGAGUUGAACAUUGUGCACAGCAAGCCACCACUGGCUCAGCAUCUGCCCUGCUGGACUUACUACUUCUAGAAGGCAAUACCUGAGUUCCUCUGGCCUCAGCUACUAGAGUGACUGGUACACUGUCCGUCUUACUCUUCCAUCAGUGUGACAACUGUGUGACCCACCAUCUGUGUGUCAAAGCAAGGCCCUGCCUCAUCCUCUGCUCCUGUGCUGACCCCAAAGGCAAAUGCUCUGCUGGUUUCCUUCCAUUUCACUUCACCUAUUAAUAGAUGUGUGAAACUGUUCAAAGCAAUACAUGCUGCACAUGUUCAAACUUCAAACUCUGUGAGUGAUUCAGUGGCAUCUUUCUCUAACCCCCAGCCUCCCUUCCCACAGAGGCAGCUGUUGUGGCCAGUUGCUGCAGUUUCUUUCUGGAGAAUCUGUAUUUAUAAAGCUGUACAGGUAUACCACAUAGCCUGUCUUGCACUUCGGACUGUUGAGUUACUGUACAUCAAGGUGAGCACUGUAUAUCUGUAUUCACGUCUGCCUCAGUCUUUUCAACAUCUGUGUGGUAGCUGUGUUUGAAUUACCCAUUCCCUUUUUGGGGAACCAUUAAGUUGUUUCAGCAAUUUUUACUGUAGAUAAGGCUAUACCGCAUAUCUGUGUACAUGUGUUUUUAUGUACAUGGGCAAGUAUAUCUGCGAGGGAAAAGUUUUCUCAGGAGGAAGUCUGGGCACAGCACGUGGAAAUUUCUGAAUAUGAUGGACACCCCCAGCUUCCACCGUAGGGAGCUUGGUCCCAUUGACAUUUCCCCACACCUUCACCUGGGCUAUGCUCUCAAACUUGGUUAUUUGUCAAUGUGAGAAGUGGAAAAUAGUAUUUAAUUGUAGUUUUGAUUUGUAUUUCUUUUGGGUUAUAUGUUUACUGAUACAUAUUAAGGAAAUUAACCCUUUGUAAAUACAUUCCUGUUUUUCACUGAUUUUUAAGUUUUAUUAUAAUAUUUUGCUCUUCAGUUUAUAUAUAUAUACACACACACACACACACUAAUUUUGUUUUAUGGUUCCUGGAUUUUAUGAGUAGUUCAAAGAGGCUAAUCCAGCUGAAGCUUUUUUUCUUUUUUCUUUUGGUUAAACCCCAUGCUUUCUCCUGUCUUUUUAUUUUUACUUUGGAGGGCUCUAUCUGGACUUAAUUUUAGUGCAACGAAUGACAGGGUUAGUUAGCCUGUUGCCCUUACACCGUUUUCUGGCUAACACAGCUGUUAACUAUUGAUCUGUUUAUUCAUGUGCCAGUUCCUAAUGGUUUUACAUAGUGUCAUCUGUACUUUAAAAAAGCGAAACGAAAGCCCUACCUCAUUAUUCUACUUUUCCAGAAUUCUCCAGGCUGCAUGUUUACCUUAACCUCCCCCGUGACGUCUUCAUGCCAUUGUCGUCUUAGGAGAGAAUAAGGUGCGUCUUUCCAUCUACUCGCAUCUGUUUAAUUUGACUUUGCAUUACACAGAAAGCUGGUCUUGGUCUGUCUACCUUGGCGUCUAGGUGUCCUCACUGCCCCCAGCGGACCCUACCCCCAUCACGGCGUACUUUUAUUUAUAUUUUGCUCUGCCCAAUGGUCACUAGUUACCGUCAUACUGAUAGUGUCCAGUUCAGUGGUCUUUGCAGUUGAGAUGAUCCUAUACACAAAGUCUUGUUAAAAAUGCCAGUAAGUUUCUACAAACCCAGCCUGCACCCAAGGUCACGUUCAGGGGGUGGGCUGGGAGGGGUUGCUUUCCGAGCCUCUGCCACUUUGUAGCUGGCUCUUCUCACUGGGAAGUUCUGUGUAUCUGGAAUGUCUGAGUGGAGUCCUGUUCCAGUGGCCAGCACCUGACCCCUGUGCCCAACCCCUGAACAGCCUUUUCCUGCUGUCCACAGCCUGCUGGAACCUUUCACAAAAUGUACUGCAUGCUUUCCUGCUUUACGAGGGAUUAUAGAGACCAGAACUUGCCAUUUCUUCAGAGUCUCAAGGCCGCCAUCAUGAACACAUUGUCCUGUCUGGUGCACAGGGGUUUUUUGGAGGCUGCUGAGCCAGAUCUGGUUGUCCCCGCCUUAACUGACCAUCUUCAGCAGCACUGCCGUUCUGCUUAGGAACCUACUGCGGCUUCCCCAGGGUCAGUCCACUCCGCUUUCACUGGGCUCCUUGUUCUACAAUAGAGCUGGAACCAAGGUGCCUGGAGCAAGAUGGUAAAGACUUUACUUCUGCUACUUUCCUAUUUCACAAAUAAGGCAGAGGCCGCCUGCCUCCACUCCAGAAAGAUGUGUCUGGGCUUUAAAUAUAUAUAUAUAUAUAUUUAAAUGAAACACUGUUCUGUUUUCUGAUGAGAAUUUUUUCGGACUUUGUUGAAAUAGGGUGGGGUGAGUUUCUGCUUCCUAAGACACUGUUGUGCACACAUCUGAUCAUUUCCUUAAUAGCAGUUUCUUAGCAGUGAAAUGACCGGCCCAGAGGCUGUGAGCGGUUUGACUCCUGUUGCCAAGCACCCUCCUUGCAGGCAGGCAGAGCCCAUGCUCCCAGCAGAGGGUCCCCAUAGCCUGGCCUGCACCAUCUUUGUUUUUAUCUUUGCUGAUUUGAAGGCAAGAAAUGGUAUCUUGGUAUUUUAAUUUGCACUUUUGGACUCCGUGAGGUUGAAUAAAUACUUGUGUGUUAGUUGAUCUGUGCAUCUGCUUUGGGCCUCACCUGUAUUUUCACCGCUUUGUGACAACUGUUGAGGACAUUUACCCUUACAUAUUACAAAACAUCGUUCAUGCUUGUAGUUUGCCUUUUAAGUGUUCGAUCUUGGUGAUGGUUUUAAAUUUGGUAAUGAAAUCUAUCCAUUUUUAUUAUUAUGGUUUCAUACUUUGGUGUUAUACUAUAUUUUUUCUGGUUCCUUUAUGGUUUUGUUUUUGACAUUAAACGCUAAUCCAUCUACAAGUUACCUUUGUUUAGAGCGCAUGGUGUAUGAAUCCAAUUUAGCUGUUUCAAAUGGUGACCUGAUUUUCCCAACACUAUAUACUGAAUCAUUCUACUUUCUCUAUUGAUUUGAAUGCCACUUGAUAAUUAUAAACUAAAUAAUUUAAUAGUCCAGGUGCAAUGGCUCACUCCUGUAAUCCCAGCACUUUGGGAGGCCAAGGUGGGUGGAUUACCUAAAGUCAGGAGUUCGAGACCAGCCUGGCCAACAUGGUGAAACCCCAUCUCUACUAAAAAUACAAAAAUUAGCUGGGGUGUGGUGGUGGGCACCUGUAAUCCCAGCUACUGUGGAGGCUGAGACAGGAGAAUCGCUUGAACUGUGUUUAGAGGCAGAGGAAAAGGUGCAGUUCAGUUCUUAAACGUGGAAUGGACGUAACCCCAGUGUGUCUUUGUGUGUAAUGCCAGCAGAUGCCCCUGCGAGAUGUGCUGGAUCGUGGGAAAGGGUUUCCAUUUGUUACUAUAUUGUUUGGAACUUUUAAUUUAUGGUGGGUAUGGUGGCUCAUGCCUGUAAUCCCAGCACUGUGGGAGGCUGAAGCAGGAGGAUCACUUGAGGCCAAGAGUUCAAGAUCAGCCUGGGCAACAUAGCGAUUCCCUAUCUCUCAAAAAAGAAGUUUUAAAAUUUGAAAUAAUAAUAGAUAGUGUAUUUAUUCAGAUGUCUUUUCUCAUCUUUUGAGAUGAGUAUCAGGUUUUUUUCCUUUUGUCAUCUGAUGAUGAACUUAAUUUUUCCAUUUGUACUAAUGGAAUAUUAAGUCCCUCUGUGAUUUCUGAAUCAAGCUAUUCCUAGGCCUGAGUUUUAUUUUGUUGACACAGAAAUAAAUUAGAAGGCCAAGUGUGGUGGCAUGUGCCUGUAGUCCUAGUUACUGAGGUAAGAGGAUUGCUUGAGUCCAGGAGUUCAAGGCUGCAGCAAGCUUUGAUUGCACCACUGCACUCCAGCCUGGUCAACAGUCUAAAACCCUGUAUCCAAAAAAAAAAAAAAAAACUAAGGCAAUGAUAGUUCCUGGCAAAUGCUGGGAAGGAGGCAGCAGUGUUCGGGGAAGGUAGCCCUGAAGCAGGACUUUUAAAACAGAGAAGACUGGGAGGCCCAGGCAGGCAGAUCACAAGGUCAGGACUUCAAGACCAGCCUGGCCAACAUAGUGAAACCCCGUCUUUACUAAUAAUACAGAAAAAUUAGCUGGGCGUGGUGGUGUGCGCCUAUAGUCUCAGCUACUCAGGAGGCUGAGGCAGGAGAAUCACUUGAACCCGGGAGGCGGAGGUUGCAGUGAGAUUGGGCCACCGUACUCCAGCCUGGGCGAUAGAGCGAGACUCCAUCUCAAAAAAAAAAAAAAAAGAAAAGAAAAGACCUUAUCUUAUUUCCUAUAUGUUUGUGCCUGAUGUAUAAUUUGGCCCUAGUUAGAAUGGUGGUCUGGGGAAGUGGCCUAUGCAAUCUCUGCUGUUCUGGAUGUAUGGCUCCCUUUCUUCAUUGAUUAAGGUUGUGAUUCUUUUUAUACAUGUUCCAUGGCAGUGGGAAGGGAUUCUCUGUCACAUUCCACAUCUGGAUCAGUUCCUCCCAAUUUUGUUGGUCAAAUCCAGAUCUGCCAUAUCCUGUGCAAUGACAAGUGAGUUGCAUUCUCACCAUCACUCCUGGGGCCUCUCCACUUGCCCUGAGCUGGCUCGGCAGUCUGCUCCGUGUGUUUUGAUGCAGGGCGAUCCACUAGUAUUCCCAGCGCUAACUCCCCCGUCUGUGGCCUGCUUGCUGCUUGGACUUCACCAUGUCUGGUGUUGACAGUGCAGACCCGAAGCUGUCCACACAUGGGCGCACACACUCCUCUGUCUUCUUGUUUGCACUGGACUGAAGUAUCUUUGGGGGUUAUUUUCAGCUGCUGAAUUUGGAAUGAUUUUUAUCUUUUCUGCUUUCCACUUAGUCCAUGUGUUUAUUUUAUACUGUAGUGAUUGGUAUUUAUCAGGUGAAUAUAAUUGGUAUUUAACAGGUGAAAUAAUCCACCUGUUCUGGUUGAGGUCUUCUGGGACUUUCCAGGGUGACAGGUUGUCACUGCUACCUGGGCCAUGUGGACCCACACCAGCAUUUUGUAGUUACGAAUUGUACAGUCACAAAUGUCUUUGGGCAAAUCCCCUUCUAUUCCUGAAGAAAGCUUUUGGCUUGCAGCCCCACUGGCCAGCGGGAAGGGCCAGUCACUUGGUUCUCCUCACUGCCCUGUGCCCAGAUGGUUCUAGAGCUGCUAUUUCCCCCUUGGCCCUGUCCACACCACUGUUUUUACUUCUGCUCACUGGCUGAGUGCAGUGGUUCCCGGAGCCAGUGCCGCGUUUCCCCACGUAGCUCACUCUCCCCGCGGCAUGCACCCGAGGGUCCUAUGGCUAACACGCUGAAUUAAUUCUUUGCUCAUCUUACAGAGUGGGUUUUGACUGCCCCCAUUUCUGAGGCCUUGUAGGCCAGAGCUUUGUUGCCUCAUCGGCAGGUUGGGACUUAGAUGGCCGUGACCGUUUCCUCUCUGCUGCUGCAGUAAGUAAGUGCCUGCACCGUGUAUUUGGGGGCUGAAGUGGAAGCGGGGCUGUGAGGGGAGAUGGACAUGUGAGGGGGACGGGGCAUGAGUGAAGUGGGGGAGGGGUUGAAGGCAGUUGGCCCAGCAGGUUCCCCGCCCUUUUUGAGAGGUCUGAGGCCUGCAGGCCUGGCUCAGAGCCCAGCUGGUAGUCCCCAGACUCGUGUGUGUGUGUGUGUGUGUGUACCUCUGUGUGUGUGUGUGUGUGUGAGAAAGAGAGAGAGAGAGAAGUGGGGGAGAAGUGGAGGGCUGACUCUGCUCGGAUUCAUCAGGAUGAGUACAAGGCACCCAGCCCUCAGCCUGGCCUGACCUCCUGUUUGUCCUGAGCAGGCUAUAGCCCUCUCUGAGCCCCUGUUUCUCAUCUGGACCCUGCUGGGGAGGGCUUCUGAGCUCUUUGGCACUGGCAGCAGGGGCUCCAGGAGCCCUCCCUCCAUGGCAACCAGGACAGGACUCUCAGACGAGGACAGAGAGCUCAUGCGGGGUUCCCAUGGACCCGCCGUGGGGCCAGGGGAGGCAGAGCCUGGGCCAGGAGCAUUGGUGCUGUGGACCGCGGAUACUGAGGGUGUCCUGACUGCGGCUGAGGGUUCAGGUGGGCUUCAUGUACCUCUGGGUCCUGGGGCCCUGGUGACUUGGACCCGUCCUCUCCAGAACUUGUACUCCAGGUUAGUCAGUGACAGGAGAGAGGCCGGUGGGCACUGCGCUUCCAACUUCAUUUCCAGCAUGACAGUUCCCAGGAAGGAACCCACAGCUGACCAUGGCCGAGAGAUCAGAGGACGGAAGGCGAGGCAGGGCAUCUGCGUGACCUCAGGUGCUUGGGGCCCAGCAGACCCAGAGAACCAUUUGCACUAGGCCAGGGUGCCGGAAGUGUCCCCAGGUCUUAGAUUUCCUGUUCUGAUGAAAAGACUUUUGCCUUUAAUUAUAAAAGUGAUCUGCAUAGAGUCAAAAAUUCAAGCCGUGGGUAUAAAGUGAAAGUAAAAUUCCUGUCCCCUCACCUAUCCUGCCCUGCUACACAGGGAUGUCUUCUCAAGUUUCCUAGACCUCUUCUGGAAAUUUCUAUACUCACAGAGAUGCUUGUGACUGCAUACACUGUCCCAGAACCUGCAGGACUGUGCCUCGUGUUCGGUUUGCUGGUGUGACUUGAUGCUCCUCAGUGAGGAUACACAUGUGGCACACUGGGAUGUGGCACAUGUGGCUGUGCCACUGGGGGACACUGUCCCAGGCGGUGGUGCCUUUGCAAGGGGAGUGAGGAAGGCAGGAGGUGGGCCUGGGAGGGAGGGAGGCGCGGAGCCGCCGCAGGUGUUUCUUUUACUGAGUGUGCCCAUGGCCACACUCAGGUUUUGCUUUUCACCUUUCAAUCUGUGAAACAGUGAGCAGGAAAAAGCAAAA